RNAcentral lists this ribosomal RNA (480 nucleotides) under uncultured bacterium. Its description in RNAcentral is "partial 16S ribosomal RNA". It matches the Rfam family "Bacterial small subunit ribosomal RNA", at positions 29 to 523 of the family's 1533-position model. The record is from RNAcentral.
AAUGAACGUUGGCGGCGUGGAUUAGGCAUGCAAGUCGAGCGCGAACCCCGCAAGGGGUGAAAGCGGCGAAAGGGAGAGUAACGCGUGGGUAUUUACCCUCGGGACUGGGAUAGCUGCGGGAAACUGCAGGUAAUACCAGAUGACGUCCCCGGACCAAAGGUGUGAUUCCGCCUGAGGAUAAGCCCGCGUCCUAUUAGCUAGUUGGUGAGGUAAUGGCUCACCAAGGCAAUGAUGGGUACUGGGUGUGAGAGCACGACCCAGCUCACUGGGACUGAGGCACUGCCCAGACACCUACGGGUGGCUGCAGUCGAGAAUCUUCGGCAAUGGGCGCAAGCCUGACCGAGCGACGCCGCGUGUGGGAUGAAGGCCUUCGGGUUGUAAACCGCUGUCAGAGGGGAGGAAUGGGCGGAGGGUAAUCUCUUCGUUUUGACCUAUCCUCAGAGGAAGUACGGGCUAAGUUCGUGCCAGCAGCCGCCGUAA